CUAAGUUUGAUGGCGACCGGCGCACGGGUGAGUAACACGUAUCCAACCUGCCGAUGACUCGGGGAUAGCCUUUCGAAAGAAAGAUUAAUACCCGAUGGCAUAGUUCUUCCGCAUGGUGGAACUAUUAAAGAAUUUCGGUCAUCGAUGGGGAUGCGUUCCAUUAGGUUGUUGGCGGGGUAACGGCCCACCUAGCCCGCGAUGGGUAGCCGGGUUGAGAGACCGACCGGCCACAUUGGGACUGAGAUACGGCCCAGACUCCUACGGGAGGCAGCAUG
This 275-nucleotide ribosomal RNA is filed under the name uncultured bacterium. RNAcentral describes it as "partial 16S ribosomal RNA". It matches the Rfam family "Bacterial small subunit ribosomal RNA", at positions 79 to 353 of the family's 1533-position model. The record is from RNAcentral.